This 71-nucleotide transfer RNA is filed under the name Actinopolymorpha singaporensis. It matches the Rfam family "tRNA". From Rfam's summary of the family: Transfer RNA (tRNA) molecules are approximately 80 nucleotides in length. Their secondary structure includes four short double-helical elements and three loops (D, anti-codon, and T loops). RNAcentral also lists the same sequence under 8 other names. The record is from Rfam by way of RNAcentral. Lineage: Bacteria; Bacillati; Actinomycetota; Actinomycetes; Propionibacteriales; Actinopolymorphaceae.
UGGGGUGUCGUCUAAGGGCAAGACCUCAGAUUUUGGAUCUGAUGAUGGGGGUUCGAGUCCUCCCACCCCAG